AGCGAACGUUAGCGGCGGGCCUAACACAUGCAAGUCGAACGCGAAAGGUCUUCGGACUGAGUAGAGUGGCGCACGGGUGAGUAACACGUAGGUAAUCUACCCUUUGGCGGGGGAUAACGUUCCGAAAGGAGCGCUAAUACCGCAUAAGACCACGGAGUCUCCGGACGCUGUGGGAAAAGGUGGCCUCUUCUUGAAAGCUACCACCGAAGGAUGAGCCUGCGUCCCAUCAGCUAGUUGGUAAGGUAAUGGCUUACCAAGGCGAAGACGGGUAGCUGGUUUGAGAGAAUGAUCAGCCACACUGGCACUGGAACACGGGCCAGCCUCCUACGGGAGGCAGCAGUGAGGAAUAUUGGGCAAUGGGCGAAAGCCUGACCCAGCCACGCCGCGUGAGUGAUGAAGGCCCUCGGGUCGUAAAGCUCUGUGGAGAGGGACGAAAACCCUGGUUUCAAAUAGGCUCCAGGCUUGACGGUACCUCUUUAGCAAGCACCGGCUAACUCUGUGCCAGCAGCCGACGG
RNAcentral lists this ribosomal RNA (515 nucleotides) under uncultured bacterium. Its description in RNAcentral is "bacterial SSU rRNA". It matches the Rfam family "Bacterial small subunit ribosomal RNA", at positions 29 to 520 of the family's 1533-position model. The record is from RNAcentral.